RNAcentral lists this ribosomal RNA (469 nucleotides) under uncultured bacterium. RNAcentral describes it as "partial 16S ribosomal RNA". It matches the Rfam family "Bacterial small subunit ribosomal RNA", at positions 28 to 507 of the family's 1533-position model. The record is from RNAcentral.
GACGAACGCUGGCGGCGUGCUUAACACAUGCAAGUCGAACGAUAACCUCCGGCUUGGGGGGGCGCUUAGUGGCGAACGGGUGAGUAAUACGUGAGUAACCUGCCCUUCACUCUGGGAUAAGCCUGGAUAACGGGGACUAUUAUCAGAUACUACAUCUUGCCGCAUGGGGGGGGGUGGAGAGGGUUUUGCUGGUUUUGGAUGUGCUCGCGGCCUAUGAGCUUGUUGGUGGGGUAAUGGCUAACCAAGGCGAAGACGGGUAGCCGGCCUGGGAGGGUGACCGGCCACACUGAGACUGAGACACAGACCCGGCCCCGACUCGUGGGAGCAGUGGGGAAGGUUGAUAAAGGGGCAGGGGCCUGAUGCAGCGACGCCGCGGCCGGGAUGACGGUCUUGGGGUUGUGAAUCUCAAUCAGCAUGGAACGAGCCGCUAGUGACGGUACCUGGAGAAGAAGCGCCGGCUAACUACGUG